ACGAGACUAAACAACUACAGACCCGUCGCCCUGACCUCUGUGGACCUGCACACCUCUAAGACUCUGAGGCGAGCAGGAAAGAUUGCAGCAGACGCCUCCCAUCCCGGUCACAAAGUGUUUCAGACUCUCCCCCCUGUGCAAGAGGCUGUGGUCCAUCAGGACCAAAACCUCUCGCCAUAAAAAGAGCUUCUACCCAUCCGCAGCUAGCCCCAAGGCCCGGGCCUCACACUGGCACCCCCCCCCCAAAUAAUACAAUCGUCUCUGCACAUGUAAAUAUCACUUCAUGUCAUAUCAUGCACGAACCUGGCAUUGACCAUUCUAUAUGUAUAAUGUGAAAGAUGUCACUGUGUCUUUAAAUUAAAAAACUCUGAUAGUCCCGUAUAUUCCCUGCCCAGCAACACAUGGCAGACAAAUUUAUCAACUCGCUGGUAAAUUUAAUGGCGCAUGUAAAAUCUAGAGUGAGAUAUUUUUUUCUCAGGAGUUAGUGGAGAACAAAACAGAGCUAAAACAAAAAUUAGACUGAGUGUCCAGAAACACAACUGCUAAUGAAUGCUAACAAGUUCACCCCUUACAAUUUAUAAAAUUAUAUUAUGUCAGUGUUGUGGUUACAGCUUGUUUCACUGCCCCUAAGUGGCCAAAAAGCACAUACUGUUUUAGGUAGGUGAGAAGCUAGAGUAGCAAAAACACAUGUACAGAUCACCCAGAAAGCAACUCCCUCUUAAAGGGACAAGCCUUUAACACAGUAACAGGGACACUCUCUGGAAAGACACAAUGCUGUUAAAGGAGACCUAUUAUACUGCAUUUCCAGUCCUAUAUUGUAGUUCUGGGACUCCUCUAUGGCAGCUUUGCAUGAUUCAAAGUAAAAAAAAAAAUAAUUCUAUCUUGUACUGGCUCUUCAUGCAGGCUCUCGUUUCAGCCUCUGUCUGAAACAGUAGAUGCUCCUGUCUCUUUAAGGCCCCUGCUCCAAACUCCAAUUGUCUUCUGAUUGGACAUUCUCUGAUGUGUUUAUCAGGCUGCCACAGGGAUGGGGCUGCAGGUUCCUUUGUGGGCGUGGCCAGCAUUCUCUGCCUGGAGCAAAUGACCAUAUAUGGAAAUCCGGCUCGGAAUGACAUCAUACCGAGCCAUUAGUAGAAAAAACAGCUGAAAACAGAGCGUUCAGAACAGGGGAAUAUCUGAGGUUUUGGCCCACAGGGAUUUCUUUUAAAUACUUAUUAUUAUUAAUAUAUAAUUAUUAUUUGAAGCUUUGGCCGUGUUUAUAAUGAACAUCUGACAUUGUAACAUUAUAGAAAUGCUAGAAAAUAUGAAAAAGCAUAAUAGGUCCCCUUUAAAUUGUUGACAUUUAAUUUAGCAUUGCAGUAAUUUAGCAUUGCAGUUUCCCUAAAUUAAAUUCUAUUCACCAAUUGUAUUGUGUUUGAGGCAGACGUUUCAGUGACAGAUUUCACAAAAGCUGGAAAACUUAAACCAAAAAUAUCUACAUGGCUAGAUAUCACUAGAGUUGAGUGAGGAAGUGCAUCUUUUUGUCAUUUUGGGAGAACUGGCCUUUAAAAAAAAGCACUGUGACUCAGUAUUCUUGGAGGAGCUGAAAGACUGUACAAACAAUAGUUAUAAAAACAUCUGCCUAAAGCUGGAUUAGAUAAUAAAUCUAAAUAUCAAGUGAAACGUGUAGAAAACCACCUAAACAGGAAAAAUCAAAUGUUCUGUCUCCUCCCAGGAUACAUAAUCCCUCUCCCUGCUGUGAACCAGAUAUGUGAUGAUAUUAAAUGAUUCGCUUAAAUAUUAAAGGAGACAGGAUGAAGAGGUUAGAUACACAAAGAGCUCUGUAGGGAAGUCACGUUUUACUGGCUGUUGUGAGUACGCGAGUGUGUGGGUGUGCGUGGGUGUGCAAGAGAAACAGUGAGAGAAACAGUGUCUGUGUUCCAUAUGAAAAUGUACAGCCACUUUAAACACUUACUAUGACAGCCAAUCUUUCAUGGUGAAUGUAAAGCUUGAUUUUAUUUUAGCCAAGUUCAGCUAUGUUUUUUGCAGGUAAAAGUGUGGAUUGAUUUUAAAGAGAAACUUGUAAGGUGGUGUGCUGUUGCUAUCGAUAAUAUGAUUUUCUGUUGUGAAUCUGUUCUGUACACACAUCUGUUGCAUGCCUGUCCGUGCUGAAAGCUGGAUACCUCCUGAGGUUUCUUCCAUUUUCUCCUUGUUAAAAGGGUUUCGGUGGGGGAGUUUUUCGUCAGUCAAAUCAAGGGUCUAAGGACAGAGGGUGUUGUAUAUUGUACUGAUUCUUAAACUCCUUGCGGUAAAUUUUGAUUUGUGAUAUUGGGCUAUAUUAAUAUUAUUGGCUUGACUUGCUUUGACAGUAACGCUUGAUCAUUUUUAAUAAUGUUUAUGCUUAUUUACUGUUUGUCGCCUGGGUUGGAUUUUAUGUCAGUUUGUAAAUGCAACACUGCUUGGAAAAAUAUCUAGGGCACCUGAUUUUUUUCAGUUAAUUGCUCAGUUGUUUUGUUUUUAACACAUCAAAACAUGUUGAAAAAACUCCCCUCACUUCUCUGCGACAAAAAGUGAGAUUCUUCAAAUUGCUUGUUUUGUCCUUCCAACAGUCAGAAAGAUAUUUACUUUGUCAUCAUAUAUAACCAAAAAAAAGGAAAUCUGAGAUGCAGGAAUGCUUGUAAUGUUUGCUUGAAAAAUUACUGAAAUAAUUAAUUUAUUGACUUAUUGAUUACUUCACUAAUGUUUCUACUAUUAAAAGAAACAAAGUGUUAGAAAA
Micropterus dolomieu (smallmouth bass) is the source of this 2752-nucleotide long non-coding RNA. RefSeq lists it as uncharacterized. The transcript has 2 exons. The record is from RefSeq and is a predicted model, not a curated record. NCBI's taxonomy places the organism in Eukaryota, Metazoa, Chordata, Actinopteri, Centrarchiformes, Centrarchidae.